This 7913-nucleotide long non-coding RNA is filed under the name Lactuca sativa (garden lettuce). RNAcentral's name for it is "long non-coding RNA (LSAT_LNC003499)". Lineage: Eukaryota; Viridiplantae; Streptophyta; Magnoliopsida; Asterales; Asteraceae. The record is from RNAcentral.
AACUUUCAGAAAAACAAUGCUUAUUGAAUUUCUUAAGUUCAUGUUUCUAAUACUUAGUGCUUUGAUAAUCUUUUAUCAAGGCUUCUUGAACUUAUACACCUUUGCCUUAGAUAGUUCAUAUGUGUGUGUAAACAAUUGCCAAACCUUACAAUUCAAAUUAUGGAAAGGGAUACCGUAACCAUAAUCGAAUUCGAGAAUGCAAUUUUACAAUCACUAUCUUCUUAAAAUCUUUCUUAGUGAAAGCAUUUCCUCACAAUCAUUUUCAUGAAGGAGGAAAUCUUAUGAAACUUAGAUUCAAACGGUGUAUGUGUUCCUAUCCAUGUGAAUUUGUCAAAACUAAAGUUUACGACAAAUUCAAACUCAUAUGGACCGAACUUUCUUAAUCUUGAUUUCUUGCCUUAUGGUAGCACAGCUGCCCACCAUGUCUUCCAAGUAGUUAAGCAGCUCACCCUUUCCUAUCAAUGUACCUUUCAUUGAUUAAGGUGCUUUGCCUUUUAUGCGUUCAAAAUGAGAACUCAUAGAACUCACAUGCAUAAUUAACUCGAUUGGAUUGGCACAGAAACAAAAUAAUGUCAACACGAUAGGUUGUAAACCUCAACUCGUGUGCUAGUGAUGAUCGAUAAGGUUUAUUUGAUUUGUUCUUGAAACCUUUCAAGACCAUUAAGACUCCCACUGACUCCUUGACAUAUAAGAUUCUCUUGUCAAAACAUUUCUUGACAAACAAAUAUUUAAGAGUUAGUGUAGCUUUUAUCAAAACACUUCAUAAAUUGAUCCUAGUUGGUCUUUGUCUUAUCCAAGACAUCACAACUUUCCACAUUUGAUGAAUGUUAUAAACCUUUCUUAAUACUUUUCACUCAAUGUCACAAUCUUAAUUGUAAGACUUGUUUUGGAACGAAGUAUGUUUGACUUAUUGAUUUAACCAUUUCUUCAAUCCUUGAUUCCUCUUCCUAAACAUACAAUUGUACUAAGACUCACUUAGAAGAUCAAUUGAGAUAUGGUUCUUAAUCAUUAAGAACUAUCAUAAAGCAUAAGUGGUACUCUCCCUUCUUCUUAGAAUGAAGAAAUUUUUUUAUCUUUCUGCAUACUUGAUUCUUCUUAUUCGUUCUGCUAUUGAUUUAAACCUUUCAAUCAAUUCAAAAUUACACUUAAUCUUAUAAGUAUGAUCAUAUUUACUAAACUUUUAGUAAAUCAUGACGAAUAUUUUGUUACUCUUAUGGUGGACUUUUACGCAACUUUGUGUAUUCGAUCCCCAAGUCCUUCACUUGACACUUUGUCAAUGAAUUAGUCCAAAUAUGAAACUUUUCAUUCAUCGUGCAACCAAGUUGCAUGAUUCCAAGUUUCUGUCCAAUUGAAACUUGGGCGAUGAGAAAACUCUCCCUAUUUGGUAAACUCUCGACUUUCCAUAAAUAACAUAAUUAAGAAUCAACUCCAUUUUGCUAACAAUAGAAACAUUUUAACAUCAAUUUUCAUACACGCCAUUGCAAGGAUAAAUAAAUAAAAUUUAAAAUCAAAAUUUAUUUUAUUGCGGAAAAAUUUGUCCUUACAAUGCAAUUCAUUGAAAACUUAUGCUAAUACAUCUUUCUUAGCAAUCUGGCUCUAACUCUAAGUAGUAGCUUAAGAAUCUAAUCAUCGAGAAAUGCGAUCAAAAUCCAUUCCUUCAUGGAUAUAUUCUGCUCACUUCUUCUUUUAAGCUCCCUUUCUUUUCUUCGAUCCUAGAUAACACCAAUUGUAAUCUUAUCACAUUAUGUAUUAAGAAUCUAGGAUAGAAGCUUAAAAGUGUUAGUCAAUGGAUUUUACCUAUAUCAGAGCCAUACGUUUCGACUCUCCCAUCUCUUAGAUCUCUUAGGUAAAUGGGGCAGCUUCGUCUCCAAUGCCCUUUUCUCUUGGCAAUAAAAGCAAAUUGACUCUUUUGGAACAUGAUAUGGAACUACUUCAAACAUUGCCUUUCUCUUAUGAUCAAACUUUUCGAUCAUAACAUGUCUUUCAUUGCCAUUGUCUAUAUCCAUAGAGAUCUUAAAGGCAGAUUCACCAAUCAACUUUGCUUUUCUAUUGCGCCAAACCAUUGCUGAUUCAGCAGCAACAAGCAUAUAAGUGAGAUCUAUAAGGUUCACGUUGUAGUUCAUCAUAUAGUACUCUCUUACGAACUCACUAUAUGAGUUAGGAAGUGACUGAAGAACCCAAUCAACAGCCAUUUCCUCACAGACAACGGAUCCCAACAUUCUUAACCUAUCAAUGUGUGACUUCAUCCCUAGGACGUGUGCACACACCGACUUUCCUUCUUUAUGUUUACUUGCCAAAAGGGCUUGAGUGAUCUUGAACUUUUCAAGCCUUUGAACUUGUGGGUUAGGGAGAAUAAUUGGAGGAGGAGGAGGAAGUGAAGCAUGAUUUCUUGUUCCUCGAUCGAAUCGUGGAAUAUCAUCUUCAUGUGGAAUGCUUGUUCCACGGGAUUUGGGAAGACCAUAGUUGUCGAACUUUGACAUCUACAAAACGGGAGAAAACGAAUUCAAGUUAGUUGAUUGAUUGAGUCCUUAGUAAAUCACCCAAAUGAGAUACUAAGGCUAGGACCCAACACAAUAUUCUACAACUCGGGAGAGGGAUGCCGUAACCCUAAUUGCAGAAUAUUUGAAGGUAAGUGAAUGACGAUUCACUAAUUUCCACCAUGAAAAACGAAAAAGAAAUUUAAGUUUUAAAUCUAUGAAAACUCCUAGAUCCUUUGAGAUUCAUUGAACUUUCAAUGGCAUGUUUAAAUCUCGAUAUGCCCCUCUUGUUUGUGACUGGGAUGCCGAGGAUCACAAAGCGGGUGUGAAUAACCAUGCAAACUUACAUGGUGCCCUCACAUGUUACAGUCACCUAUUCGAUGUGCCGGUAAACCACACACGCUCCACCGAACUAUGACAAACAUUGAGUCACCCUUUGCUACCUUUGCUUAGAACCAUUUAGUGUGCCGGUAAACCACACACGCUCCACUAACGUCUUCGCAAGGGCACAAAGUGUAAUUUCAUGGAAUUGCAUCAAUUCACUUUUGCCUAAGUAACUAAGAUUGGGAAUUUUAUGAAAACAUUUAGUUACUUUAAUAAUUCAUUAUACUUAUAAUGGAAGGUUUCGUCCUAUCCUACCCGUUCGGCUAACGACCCUCCACUAGUCAAGAGUGCGGUGGGUAAGAGUGGAUACCCAUUCAAUCGCCAUUUUAUAGGCAAUUUCCUUAAACACCCCUUAUAGACCAGCUUCGUGAAUGAGGCCUACUAACGGUAAGACUGACUUUUACUCAUACAUAUAUAUAAUGUUAGACUUUUAAUGUUAUAUAUAGUAUAGGGUGUAUUUUACACUUUUAAAAUAUUAGGUGGUCUAAUUUAACAAUUAUACUUUUAAUUCAAUUAAAUUGUAAACCUAAACUUUUAUGGAUUUAUUAAACCUCUUUUAAUUAUACACCUUAAUUAAUUAAUAAAACCAUAAGGGUGUGAUUUGAACUUUUUCAAAACUAUACUAGAGUUUUAGAAUUUAACAUUCCUAAUUAAACUUUUAAUCAACUUUUAAAUUCCAAAACUUGAGGGCAAGUUUUGAAACAUUUCAACACAUUAGGGUUUAGAAUUUAAAUAUACAUCAAAAUUAAACCAUUUAAUCAAAAUUUAAAUUCCAAAACUUGAGGGCAAGUUUUGAAACCUUUUUCAAAACAUUAGGGUUUUAACUAUUUAAAUUUCAAAACAACAAAACUUUUGGGUUCAAAUUUAAACUAUAAAACCUAAAGGGGAAAAUAUGAAACUUUUCAUAACAACAAGGAUCAAAUAACAAAUAAUCUAAAUUAACAUUUAAUCACAUAAUUAUCCAUAUUUGAUUUAUUUAAUGAUUUCUUGCAAAACAAUUUAUCAAUUUAGUCAAAAUAAUUAAUCAAUUAUCACAUAAGGAAACAAUUAUCUUAUUAAUUGAUAAAUAUCUUCAAUUAGAUCAAGAAUAUAGUCAAAUAUAUCAUAAAAUCGGAUUUAUAUUGAUCUAAUAUGAUAAGGUAACUAUCCCAAAGCAAAAACAGCAAGAAAUCCCGAGAUAUGCUCCAUCUGACGAGUUGACUCGUCGAGUCAAGCUUGGACUCGUCGAGUCUGCAUGGACUCGGCGAGUCCAGCCUCCAGAAACCAAAAAAUCGAAUUUUUCAAACAUAUCAAGCAUCAAUACAAUAGAAACCAAUCUAGGCUCUGAUACCACUGAUGGGUUUUGGUCAUAAGACAUCCUAUGUGCUCAUACAAACCCUAAUGCUUGGAUCUAGGUUUCUCUAUUGUACAUGCUUUGAAUCCAAGACUAUAAACCCUAAUUCUAGCAUAUGGAAAUCAAUAUUAACAUAUAAUUAGGUUUAUGAUAUUACCUUGAUUGUUAUGUAGCAAUAACAAUCCCAAUUCCUCCUUGAAUUGACUUUGGAAGGCUUAGAGUCACAAGUGUCACUCCUCUAAUGGUUCACAAACACCAUAAGCAAGAGGAUGAAGAGGAGAGAGGAUGGAGGCUGCCCAAAACGUGUUCUAACCCUAGAAAAGAAGUUCCCCACGUUUUUGAGCCUUAAGGGUUCUAUAUAUAGUGAGGCUAUUAGGGUUAUCUAACAAGGAAACCCUAAUUUGGUUGCUUAAGCCCUAAGCAACCCAUGGAGCCCUUUCCUUAAGGCCUUGGACGAUUUCAUAUGGGCUUCCCCCAUAGAAUUCGUCCACCUUAUAAUAUAAGGCAAUCCAUGGCCCAAAUUGCAAUUAUCUUAUAAUUACAAUUCCAGUCCCUUAAGUUUAAUUAAUCUCUUUUAGUCACAAAACUAAUUACCAAUUAAUUCUUGACUAAUAUUAAUUAAACAAUAUGAUUUCUCCUUUAAUAUAUUAUUCUCAUAAUAUAUUAAUAAAUCAUAUUUAAUCCUUUCUCUCCAUAAUUCAUCCUAUCAAGUUGCUUUGGUGAAGGCAACCCAAAAGGACCAUGCACCAUCGGGUCAAGUACAUACCAAAAUAGUUAUGGACUUAGACACUAAUCCAACAGUCUCCCACUUGGAUAAGUCUAAUAACUAUUCUGCGUAUGACUUCAGAUCCUGAUCUGCAAUCGUAGCUUUCCAAAGCCGCUGUCAACUCUGAUCAUAUCAGAUACGCGUGUCCUUAGAUAAGGGAUCAUAUAUUCCUCCAUUCUAGAUAUCAUAUGAGAUAUGAUUUCAAAUCAUUCUCUUUGUACUAUAUCUCGAUUCCCGAUUUAUGACGACUGACUAAUUGAACAAAUCAAAUUAGCCCUAGCCCGGCCGAGCAUUUACGUUUGUCAUCACUAAAUCAUCGAGGGGCCCAAAGAUAUCGCUUUUAUCCUACUUUGGAUAAAAGGAACGGAUAAACUUUGAUACAAUGCUUGCUUGCACUCACUCACCGAAUCACACACAACAAUAUGUUUUAUAACACCAAGUUACUAGUGCGUUUACAUAUUAUCAAUGUGCAACCGAUUUGCAAGAUACAACUCACACAUCUCGGUUUCAAGAAUAUAAGAUGUUAUCGUCUCACCAAUCACUCGUGAUACAAUUCAUGGAGUGAUCCAAGUGAGCGUGGGUUUAAUCCAAUGCUCAAAUCAUAUUCAUAAGCACUCAUGAACGUUGCAGCAAACAUUUGCUUAUGUCUAAUACUCUUUUAGACAAUCCACACACCAAUUCACGACAGUCUUCAUUCAUAUCUACUUCCAACAUAUGAACGACUGUGGCCCGUUCGAAUAAUUCGAUUAUUCUUAAUAAAUUCAAUUAUUCUGGAAGUCAAAACAUGCAAAUGUGAAACACAAGAAUAAUACUAAUCCCAUAUGGCCUCAAACCUUUGAGUAUAAAUAAAACUCCUUUUAUUUAUCACCAUAUUGAUUACUCAUUAUUUGUCGUUUCGGGUAAUCAACUUCUUACUUGAAUUACAACACUUGUCCCAUGCUCCUAGCAUGCACACAAUGUUUACCUAUGGUUCUUACUUUGUGAAAUAGAUCACAUUGAACACAUUUCCAAUCCUUCUCAUUUCACAACUCCAAAUCCGUUUUUCAUAAGUUAAAGAAUAUCAAAUUCUUGUUACUUAUAGAAUAUGCUAGAUUCUAACAUUCUAUGCAAUGAUCCUUUCGUAAUGUCACUGCACCAAAGUCACAAAGACUAUUGCCAAUGAUAUUACAAAGUCCUCUAUCGGAGAUUGUUACAAGACAAUUCCUUAGAUAUGAUGUCUCUCACUCAAAGUACAUUCCUUUGAACAUCCUUUUGCAUAAAAGUUUCUAAUCUAGACAUAGAUUUUCAAUAUUCAAUUCCCAAUAUGGACACGUUUCCAUAUUUUCCAUAUGACAACUCAUUCUUAAUAGAAUCUUAUCUAUUCGUAAUGAUGUCGAUAUGGUCCAUCCAAUAUGGAAACAUUUCCAUAAUUUCCAUAUGACAACUCAUUCUUAAUAGAAUCUUUUCUAUUCAUAAUAAUGUCGAUAUGGUCCAUCCAAUACCAUGCUUCCAACUACUCACAAGCGACCAAUCCUCGUCGAACUUUGGAUUGUCCUUUGAUAGUUGUUUAAUUAUUUUAGUCAAAACCAAUUCUAGUCCCUUUUCCCUCUAAAUGCGCUCGACAUUUGGAAAAUUUUAGAAUGGUCAAACAUUAAAGCAUUUGCAAUCGAUCCUAUACCCGAAGCGUAUGGGACACGACGCAUAAUGUUUUAUUUGCUAUGUUCUCAAAAUUCGAAUUGUGAAGAGGAAUGCCGUAAUCAUAAUCGAAAUUUUAAGAACACACUAUGUACCUUUGACUAAAUUUAUUAACAUUUCUCAACCUAAGCCUUUAGAUUUGAAAUGAAGCAUAAUAUUCUCUCCCUUAAUUAUAGCAAAACAACUUUACAACCCUUACGACUUUGCAAGGUAUAACUCUUGUUUUCUAUAAUUAAUAUUGCCAACUUGCAAUACGUGCCUUAAUAAUCAUACAAUCAUAACAUUUAUGCUCCCACUAUCAUGAUGAUUAUUAUAAAACAUAACACUUAUGCUCCCACUAGCUUCGACAUGUAUUCAUAAACAUCUUAACUUUCAGAAAAACAAUACUUAUUGAAUUUCUUAAGUUCAUGUUUCUAAUACUUAGUGCUUUGAUAAUCCUUUAUCAAUGCUUCUUGAACUUAUACACCUUUGCCUUAGAUAGUUCAUAUGUGUGUCUAAACAAUUAAGACUAAUUGCCAAACCUCACAAUUCAAAUCAUGGAAAGGGAUACCGUAACCAUAAUCGAAUUCGAGAAUGCAAUUUUACAAUCACUAUCUUCUUAAAAUCUUUCUUAGUGAAAGCAUUUCCUCACAAUCAUUUUCAUGAAGGAGGAAAUCUUAUGACACUUAGAUUUAAACGGUGUAUGUGUUCCUAUCCAUGUGAAUUUGUUAAAACCAAAGUUUACGACAAAUUCAAACUCAUAUGGACCGAACUUUCUUAAUCUUGAUUUCUUGCCUUAUGGUAGCACAGCUGCCCACCAUGUCUUCCAAGUAGUUAAGCAGCUCACCCUUUCCUAUCAAUGUACCUUUCAUUGAUUAAGGUGCUUUGCCUUUUAUGCGUUUCAAAUGAGAACUCAUAGAACUCACAUGCAUAAUUAACUCGAUUGGAUUGGCACAGAAACAAAAUAAUGUCAACACGAUAGGUUGUAAACCUCAACUCGUGUGCUAGUGAUGAUCGAUAAGGUUAUUUUGAUUUGUUCUUGAAACCUUUCAAGACCAUUAAGACUCCCACUGACUCCUUGACAUAUAAGAUUCUCUUGUCAAUAAACAUUUCUUGACAAACAAAUAUUCAAGAGUUAGUGUAGUUUUUAUCAAAACACUUCAUAAAUUGGUCCUAGUUGGUCUUUGUCUUAUCCAAGACAUCACAACUUUCCACAUUUGAUGAAUGUUAUAAACCUUCUUAAUACUUAUCACUCAAUGUCACAAUCUUAACUCUAAGACUUGUUUUGGAACGAAGUAUG